CCGGCGAUGUCCGAAUGGGGAAACCCAGUGUGAUUCGUCACACUAUCGUUAACUGAAUACAUAGGUUAACGAGGCGAACCGGGGGAACUGAAACAUCUAAGUACCCCGAGGAAAAGAAAUCAACCGAGAUUCCCCCAGUAGCGGCGAGCGAACGGGGAGCAGCCCAGAGUCUGAAUCAGCUUGUGUGUUAGUGGAACGGUCUGGAAAGUCCGACGGUACAGGGUGAUAGUCCCGUACACCAAAAUGCACAGGCUGUGAACUCGAAGAGUAGGGCGGGACACGUGGUAUCCUGUCUGAAUAUGGGGGGACCAUCCUCCAAGGCUAAAUACUCCUGACUGACCGAUAGUGAACCAGUACCGUGAGGGAAAGGCGAAAAGAACCCCGGCGAGGGGAGUGAAAAAGAACCUGAAACCGUGUACGUACAAGCAGUGGGAGCACCUUCGGGUGUGACUGCGUACCUUUUGUAUAAUGGGUCAGCGACUUAUAUUCUGUAGCAAGGUUAACCGUAUAGGGGAGCCGCAGGGAAACCGAGUCUUAACUGGGCGUUAAGUUGCAGGGUAUAGACCCGAAACCCGGUGAUCUAGCCAUGGGCAGGUUGAAGGUUGGGUAACACUAACUGGAGGACCGAACCGACUAAUGUUGAAAAAUUAGCGGAUGACUUGUGGCUGGGGGUGAAAGGCCAAUCAAACCGGGAGAUAGCUGGUUCUCCCCGAAAGCUAUUUAGGUAGCGCCUCGUGAACUCAUCUUCGGGGGUAGAGCACUGUUUCGGCUAGGGGGUCAUCCCGACUUACCAACCCGAUGCAAACUACGAAUACCGAAGAAUGUUAUCACGGGAGACACACGGCGGGUGCUAACGUCCGUCGUGAAGAGGGAAACAACCCAGACCGCCAGCUAAGGUCCCAAAGUCAUGGUUAAGUGGGAAACGAUGUGGGAAGGCACAGACAGCCAGGAUGUUGGCUUAGAAGCAGCCAUCAUUUAAAGAAAGCGUAAUAGCUCACUGGUCGAGUCGGCCUGCGCGGAAGAUGUAACGGGGCUAAACCAUGCACCGAAGCUGCGGCAGCGACACUAUGUGUUGUUGGGUAGGGGAGCGUUCUGUAAGCCUGCGAAGGUG
RNAcentral lists this ribosomal RNA (1111 nucleotides) under Klebsiella pneumoniae. Its description in RNAcentral is "partial 23S ribosomal RNA". It matches the Rfam family "Bacterial large subunit ribosomal RNA", at positions 104 to 1258 of the family's 2925-position model. The record is from RNAcentral. Lineage: Bacteria; Pseudomonadati; Pseudomonadota; Gammaproteobacteria; Enterobacterales; Enterobacteriaceae.